This is a long non-coding RNA of Centruroides sculpturatus (bark scorpion), 767 nucleotides long. RefSeq lists it as uncharacterized. The record is from RefSeq and is a predicted model, not a curated record. NCBI's taxonomy places the organism in Eukaryota, Metazoa, Arthropoda, Arachnida, Scorpiones, Buthidae. The transcript is spliced from 4 exons.
GCGAGUUUUUUUGUCGAAGUUAUUCGAUGCGAUUGAAUUUGUUGCUUAUUAUUUUGUUUAAAAUGAGUUUUAUAAAUGUUGAUUGUUAUUGCGUUGAAACUAUUUUCUGGUACGAAGAUGGUUUUUAUGUUACUUAUGAUUAUCAAUAUUUCAUACCACAAGAAGAAUAUGGACUAUAUUCACCAUUUAUUCCAUAUCAGCAAGUCUCUAAUUCGCUUGCUUAUGGAUAUUCAAGUCAAGACGGUUUAUACAAACCGCCAUUACAAGGAUUUCAAACAUCAAAUUAUUGGUCACAGGAGGAAGUGGUUUAAAAUGAACCUUUUCAAGAAGUGCCGCAAUAUGAUGUGGCCACAAAUACAUCAGAAUUUUGGCCACUGGCAGAUAUGGACGAAAAUGAACUUCGUCCGUUUCAAAUAAGAACAAAUGAAUCGGAGUAUCCUGUAGCCGAAACGUCGCUACAUUCGAUGCAACCAAAUAUGUUGCAAAGUAAUUCGGAGUCGGAAUGUGAGGCGCAAAAAAAAGUGUCCGAACAUGAAGUUUUUGUUCCGGAUACAAUAACUAAUAAAAAACCGGACAUGCAUUCCUCAUUAGGAACUUCUGAAGAUUUAUCAAUUUCUACGCAUCCACAUAAUAAUGAACUGGAAUCAGAACCCGAAAUUUCGUGUACAAAUGAUUCUGAUGCGAAUAAUUUUGCAUCUUUCAAUACCUCAGAAAACGUGGAGCAAGUGAAACAAACUGAAACAACAGUGAACAUAACAGGAGACACC